RNAcentral lists this ribosomal RNA (460 nucleotides) under uncultured bacterium. RNAcentral describes it as "partial 16S ribosomal RNA". It matches the Rfam family "Bacterial small subunit ribosomal RNA", at positions 338 to 795 of the family's 1533-position model. The record is from RNAcentral.
CCUACGGGAGGCAGCAGUGAGGAAUAUUGGUCAAUGGACGAGAGUCUGAACCAGCCAAGUAGCGUGAAGGAUGACUGCCCUAUGGGUUGUAAACUUCUUUUAUAUGGGAAUAAAACAGGGUAUGCAUACCCUCUUGUAUGUACCAUAUGAAUAAGGAUCGGCUAACUCCGUGCCAGCAGCCGCGGUAAUACGGAGGAUCCGAGCGUUAUCCGGAUUUAUUGGGUUUAAAGGGAGCGUAGGUGGAUUGUUAAGUCAGUUGUGAAAGUUUGCGGCUCAACCGUAAAAUUGCAGUUGAAACUGGCAGUCGUGAGUACAGUAGAGGUGGGCGGAAUUCGUGGUGUAGCGGUGAAAUGCUUAGAUAUCACGAAGAACUCCGAGUGCGAAGGCAGCUCACUGGACUGCAACUGACACUGAUGCUCGAAAGUGUGGGUAUCAAACAGGAUUAGAUACCCCGGUAGUC